Molecule: ribosomal RNA, 1094 nt
Filed under: fungal sp. ARIZ AZ1110
Lineage: Eukaryota; Fungi
Description: eukaryotic LSU rRNA
Rfam family: Eukaryotic large subunit ribosomal RNA (bases 499-1094)
Source: RNAcentral
GAUCAUUACCGGGCCAGCGGGGCGCUCCGGCGCCCGCAACCCCCCACCCUUGUGCGUCCCGAAAGCGUUUGGCUUGAGCGGUGCGCCCCGCCCCUCCCCUCGCGAGCCGGGGGGAAGGGGGGGGGCCCACCGGGCGGCCGGAACACCAACCCUGAAGCGAACCUUGCAGCCCGAAGCGGAAGCGAACAGCCGAAAACUUUCAACAACGGAUCUCUUGGCUCUGGCAACGAUGAAGAACGCAGCGAAAUGCGAUAAGUAAUGUGAAUUGCAGAAUUCAGUGAAUCAUCGAAUCUUUGAACGCACAUUGCGCCCCCUGGCAUUCCGGGGGGCACGCCUGUCCGAGCGCCAUUUCGACCUCUCAAGCCCAGCUUGGCCGUGGGCCGCGCCCGCGCGGCGGGCCCGAAACCAGUGGGCGCCGCCCGCCGGUUCCCAGCGUCGCAAGACCCUCGCUGGGAGCGCCGGCGGCCGGCCGCCCGGAACCUCCAACCCACCCAGGUUUGGCCUCGGAUCAGGCGGGGAUACCCGCUGAACUUAAGCAUAUCAAUAAGCGGAGGAAAAGAAACCAACAGGGAUUGCCCCAGUAACGGCGAGUGAAGCGGCAGCAGCUCAAAUUUGAAAUCUGGCCCCUCCCGGGUCCCGAGUUGUAAUUUGCAGAGGGCGCUUCGGGCGAAGCCCCGGUCCAAGUCCCUUGGAACAGGACGUCAGAGAGGGUGAGAACCCCGUGUCCGACCGGCGGCGCUCCCCGCGUGAAGCCCCUUCGACGAGUCGAGUUGUUUGGGAAUGCAGCUCCAAAUGGGUGGUAAAUUCCAUCUAAAGCUAAAUACCGGCCAGAGACCGAUAGCGCACAAGUAGAGUGAUCGAAAGAUGAAAAGCACUUUGGAAAGAGAGUCAAACAGUACGUGAAAUUGUUGAAAGGGAAGCGCUUGCGGCCAGACUUGCCCGCGGGUGUUCAGCCCGCCCUCGCGGCGGGCGCACUCUCCCGCGGUCAGGCCAGCAUCGGCUCCGGCGGCCGGACAAAGGCCCGGGGAACGUGGCCCCCUCCGGGGGGUGUUAUAGCCUCGGGCGCAAUGCGGCCAGCCGGGGCCGAGGACCGC